UAAGAAGCAACAUCUGCUGUACACAACAGGAACAAAAAACACACCCUUGAUCAGACAAUUGCAUCCAGGAGGAGAACAUAGUGAAAGAGAUUUUACAACAAGGUUCUUCAAAAUUGAAAGUGGACAAGAUGAAACUUAAUACAAUACUAGAGGAGAUAAUUGAUGAUGAUGAAUCAAGUGGUCAACAUGAAGAUAUUGGAGAGGAAACAUAGAUCUUAGACUGUUAUUUUUAGAAGAAUUAUUUUUUAAAUUUCUUAUA
Molecule: long non-coding RNA, 259 nt
Organism: Vigna unguiculata (cowpea)
Lineage: Eukaryota; Viridiplantae; Streptophyta; Magnoliopsida; Fabales; Fabaceae
Source: RefSeq, a predicted model, not a curated record